This 1084-nucleotide long non-coding RNA is filed under the name Bos taurus (domestic cattle). RNAcentral describes it as "long non-coding RNA NONBTAT007223". Lineage: Eukaryota; Metazoa; Chordata; Mammalia; Artiodactyla; Bovidae. The record is from RNAcentral.
ACUGGGCUGUGGGUCCUCCAGUGAAGCAACAUCUACCUCCCAAGCCCAAAAGAAAGGCUUUGAAGGACUGUAUUAGUAGUGAACAAUGGAAGGUGAAUCACGUGUGAUUUGUGGUUCCUCAGAUAUGGGAGAGACCUUUAAACUCCAUGCCAAACUCGAAGACAAGGUACAUUCGAUUUAGGCCCUGCAGCCGGACCACAUAUAGGAGCACCCAUGUUUUACAGCGUUGAUCUCAGGUUCCACAAAACCACGUAGAGCCUGGAGCUCUGGGAUUUUGUCAGUCAGUCUCUCAGUCUCCCAUUUAUGGACUCCCUGAUUCUGGGGUCCACAGCUUUUCGCCCCCACAGCAUGGAACCCCACCAUUGACUGUGAUCAGGUAGCCCAGAACUGACGGCUAGUUCCCUGCACACUUUCCUGACCCACACUGUGUCCAGUGAUGUUACGCCUCAGAACACCACUUGUAGGUUUGGGUUUGUUUAGAUUUUGGAUUUUCAUUGAGUUUGUUUGAUGUCUGCAGUUUUCACCAUACUUGGAUAUAUGUAAAUCCUACAGCAUUACAUUCUCCAGGAAUAAAUCUCUGACAUUUCCCAAGGCUGCAGACUUCGUUUUGCCUCUGUUUAAAGUGGCCAAGGCCAAAAUAUGGGAUGAAGUUAUUAUCUCCUACUAAUCUUUGUAAUUAUUCUUGUAAACCACUAAAAAAUCAAAAUUGCUUUGAGAAUAUAAGUUGAAAACUGUCCUGUCCAUUUCUGAACUGCUAAGGGCCCUUUCAGUUUUCAUGUAGCCGAAACACUCUUAACAGCCAGCAAAUGUUAUCAGAUGAAUAUUUGCUUGUGUUUUCUCUCUCUACUUCCCCUUACCCACUUCAAAAAUUCCAGAGAUUUUUUCCCCCCAGAAUAUUAGUUUUGGAAGAUUGUAUCCAACUAUAUUUUUUUAGCAGUUCUAAUGGUGCCCAUUUAUCCUGACCUAACUGGUUAUUUAAAUAAUUUUUUAAACCACCACCAAUAAUAAAUGGCAUGUGAAACUGAUCUGUUGGUAAUUGGAAGAAAAGUCAGCAUCUGUAUUUAUAAAAUAAAAUUGAUUAGUA